RNAcentral lists this ribosomal RNA (1032 nucleotides) under uncultured archaeon. RNAcentral describes it as "bacterial SSU rRNA". It matches the Rfam family "Archaeal small subunit ribosomal RNA", at positions 322 to 1355 of the family's 1478-position model. The record is from RNAcentral.
CCUACGGGGGGCAGCAGGCGCGAAACCUUCGCAAUGCCCGAAAGGGUGACGAGGCUACCCCGAGUGCCGUCCGCUAAGGACGGCUUUUGUCGGGUCUAAAAAGCCCGACGAAUAAGGGGAGGGCAAGUCUGGUGUCAGCCGCCGCGGUAAUACCAGCUCCCCGACUGGUCGGGACGAUUAUUGGGUCUAAAGCGUCCGUAGCCGGCCCUGUAUGUGAUCCGUUAAAUCCAGCGGCUCAACCGCUGGGCUGCGGAUCAUACUAUGGGGCUAGGGGACGGGAGAGGCCGGAGGUACUCCGCGGGUAGGGGUAAAAUCCGCUGAUCCGCGGAAGACCAACAGUGGCGAAGGCGUCCGGCCAGAACGCGCCCGACGGUGAGGGACGAAAGCCAGGGGAGCGAACCGGAUUAGAUACCCGGGUAGUCCUGGCCGUAAACGAUGCCCGCUAGGUCUUGGUGAAGCUUAGGGCUUCAUCAGGGCCGCAGGGAAGCCGUUAAGCGGGCCACCUGGGGAGUACGGCCGCAAGGCUGAAACUUUAAAGGAAUUGGCGGGGGAGCACCACAAGGGGUGAAGCUGCGGUUUAAUUGGAGUCAACGCCGGGAACCUUACCAGGGGUGACGGCAGAGUGAAGGUCAGGCUAAAGACCUUACCUGACAAGCCGAGAGGAGGUGCAUGGCCGUCGCCAGCUCGUGCUGUGAAGUGUCCUGUUAAGUCAGGCAACGAGCGAGACCCUCGCUGCCAGUUCCUUCUAUGUUCCGAAAGGUACAUAGAGGAAACUGGUGGGACCGCCGCCGAUAAGGCGGAGGAAGGAGGGGGCUACGGCAGGUCAGUAUGCCCCGAAACCCCUGGGCCACACGCGGGCUGCAAUGGUGGGGACAAUGGGAUCCGAUCCCGAAAGGGGGAGGUAAUCCCGAACCCCCACCUCAGUUGGGAUCGAGGGCUGCAACCCGCCCUCGUGAACCUGGAAUCCCUAGUAAUCGCGGGUCACCAUCCCGCGGUGAAUACGUCCCCGCUCCUUGCACACACCGCCCGUCA